GAGAGAGACCACACCAAAGAAAAUUCACCAUUUAACACCUCCACCCCAUCUCCAUCUCCCCUUCUUCUUUCUUCCCCAUAAUACCACCACCGCUCUUCCCUCCCUUUCUCCAAUCCAAUCGCUCUCUUUCUAUAUAUAAUCAAUCAAGACGAAUAGUCCACCGAGUACUAAGCUGUUAGAUUAGAAGGCAGCAGCAAUGGCGUACGUCGAUCACGCCUUCUCCAUAUCCGACGAUGAUAUAAUGAUGGGAACCUCCUACACUGUCAACAACAAGCCUCCUAUCAAGGAGAUCGCCCUCGCCGUAGCUCUCCUCGUCUUUGGCACUCUCGGAAUCGUCAUCGGUGUCUUAAUGGCCGUCAAUGAAGUCGGCGGCGAUCGCGCUCACGGGAUUUUUUUUGCAUUACUGGGUGGAAUUUUGUUCCUUCCGGGAUUCUAUUACACUCGUAUUGCGUACUAUGCUUAUAAAGGCUAUAAAGGUUUCUCCUUUUCCAACAUACCUCCUGUCUAAAGAUGGACUGAUCAAUGUACAUAGGUAACAAAUUUAUGGUUGGAUGAGCAAUGGACAAAGUUCUUAGGCGUGGCCAUGCAUCCAGUGUGUUGUGAUUGAUGAGAGGGAGAAAUUUUUAAAGAAAUUAGAACCUGUCCGAUGCGCUCUUCUCUCCCGCUCUCUCCACAGGCCGGUUUGAACGAUUGUGCCUCUGCUAGCCGCCGCAGCCCAGCCGGUUCGUGCAUCCCGCCGCAAAUAGAAGUUCCCCGUCCGCCAGUAGCAGCAGCCACCGCCUCCUGCGCGCCUCCUCCGCCAAGCCGGCGCGCUGAAGCCGCCAAACCAUCAUCAGCCCGGUUCAAACCGCAUCCUCCGCCGCGCGCUGCUCCCGAUCUCCAACUGCUGCUGUUCUGCGCUGCCACUGACCAUCAGCUGCGAGUCACCAAUGGAAAUUUCAGGGAAGUCAUUUACUCUUGAUCUAUAUUGCAUUCUCUUGAGAAACCUCUAUCGAUUAUUGCCUAGAUAUUAUACAAAAUAAGUUGAUGAUGAAGAAUUUUAAUUUCGGCGAUUUUCGUAGAGGUUCUUUGAUGCAACCGAUAAAUGGAUGCAUAUAGAUUAUUGGGAGAGAUUAUUGGGUGAUUGAUAUUGUCGAAUAAUAUUUAAAUGUUUGUUGUGAAAUUGUUCUUGGUGUUGGGGUUAAUUGAGGACUUGCUAUUUAGUUGUUGAAUUUUCUGGCGUGCAGGCAUUAUGACUAAAGUGCGGGCAUCGGAUUCGGUUCCCGCAAGGGUUCCAAUAGCUACGAGGUUGUCAACUAUUUCAAAGACGAAAGGAUGCAAAAGAACAAGCAUUGAGGGAACGGACAUCUUCUUAGUUGCGGGGUAGAGAUACGGGUAAUACAAUGACCACAAUUCCAGUCGAUUUUCCUACUUCUGUAUCCACCAAUGUACGGGCACAAAAAGGUAACUCAGUUCAAGUGUUGCCUCCAACUCAAGUUGGGGGCCAUUUACAUUCUUUCACACCCAAGGAACAUACAAGGUACGAACUUUUGUGCACUAAGAGCAUUUUCUCGGGUAAGUACAUUCACGUUGAAACACUUGAGAAGUUACGCAUUAAAGAUGUUGUUCUUGAUUACAUAUCUAGCAUUGGUUGGAGUUGUUUAUUUACUUAUCAACAACCUGGUUUCAUUGAACUUGCCCUCGAGUUCUUCUCUACAUUUAUGUUUGACUUGCCUAAACAAUUUGAUGUAAUGCAACCUGAUGUAAUUAGAUUCUCUUUGCUUGGUAAAGAGUUUAAGCUUUGUUUAGCAGAAUUUAAUUUACAUUUAGGUUUUGUGACUUCCGAGGAGCUUGAGGAUGAUUCUUUCAAUACCGAUGCAUGUGCGUUUAUUGAGCCCUUUUCUGUUUCAGUCGAGAAAUUACGGAGUGAAUUUUCUGUGGAUUGAAAAGUUUGUUUUGACAAUAAUAUGCCUGCUCGUAGAUUGAAGGA
This is an RNA transcript of Andrographis paniculata, 1969 nucleotides long. RefSeq lists it as uncharacterized. NCBI's taxonomy places the organism in Eukaryota, Viridiplantae, Streptophyta, Magnoliopsida, Lamiales, Acanthaceae. The transcript is spliced from 4 exons. The record is from RefSeq and is a predicted model, not a curated record.